GACGAACGCUGGCGGCGUGCCUAAUACAUGCAAGUCGAGCGAAGUUUUUCUGGUGCUUGCACUAGAAAAACUUAGCGGCGAACGGGUGAGUAACACGUAAAGAACCUGCCUCAUAGACUGGGACAACUAUUGGAAACGAUAGCUAAUACCGGAUAACAGUAUUUCUCGCAUGAGAGAUAUUUAAAAGUUGGUUAUGCUAACACUAUGAGAUGGCUUUGCGGUGCAUUAGCUAGUUGGUGGGGUAAAGGCCCACCAAGGCGACGAUGCAUAGCCGACCUGAGGGGGGGAUCGGCCACCCUGGGACUGAGACCCGGCCCAGACCCCUACGGGGGGCCGGGGGAGGGAAUUUGCCGCAAGGGGCGAAAGCCUGACGGAGCAACGCCGCGUGAGUGAAGAAGGUUUUCGGUUCGUAAAGCUCUGUUGUUAGGGAAGAAUGGAUAUGUAGUAACUAUACAUGUAAGGGCCGGUACCUACCCAGAAAGCCCCGGCUAACUACGG
RNAcentral lists this ribosomal RNA (498 nucleotides) under uncultured bacterium. RNAcentral describes it as "partial 16S ribosomal RNA". It matches the Rfam family "Bacterial small subunit ribosomal RNA", at positions 28 to 506 of the family's 1533-position model. The record is from RNAcentral.